UGCAUAUCAGGAGCACAGAUGACAUAUUCUAUUUUUCCAGAUUUGAUUAUGUUUCACAUAUAUCAAUAGCUAAUUAAUUUCCUUCUAAAAGUGAAGAGUUAUCAGAGUGAAGAAGAAUUUUGAAUAGACUUAUCCCAUGUCACCACUGUUGACAUCCUAGACUUCAUACGAUUUGCAAGGCAAUAAAGAUGAUUAUAGCAUCAGUAACAUCAGUAUCUCCCACAAGUCAAACUACUUACAUUGGUUAGGUGUGAUUUAAAGGAAGCAAUGAAUGCCCGAGCUCUCAAAAUCUCCAAAUAUUAUAAUUGCUGUAGCCUGUUUACGAGCCUUCUUCAAAUAUGGUAACACAGACACUUGGCAUGAGAUUGACAGGUUCUGUUAACAGCUGGAGAAAAGAAAAGGAAUUAUCAGCUACUUGGUCAGACCAAUCACAUAAAUACAAGCCUUGCAGCUCUAUCCAAUGGUGUUAUAGCCAUGCCAAGCAAAGGAGGAUUUCCCUCGCUUCUUGGAAGAAGACCCUGAUAAUUAAUUCCCUUCGUAGCCCUUGUAUCCAUGCUUCUUCUCCACUUGAACAUUAUUAACUUUAAUUUUUUAGUCUCUUCUAUUCAAAAGCACCUAAAAUCAGGAUCAGUUUAUUGUAAUAAAAAUGUUUUUACUGCACUGCUGUCACUAUUGUAUUUUGGGGAUACAAUGCUGCCCUUCUCUUAAUUGUGACAGGGCAACUAAUGACUCAUUCAGAAACUGACUGUCUCUCAACUAAGCACUCAGUAACA
Long non-coding RNA from Cyanistes caeruleus (blue tit), 773 nucleotides. RefSeq lists it as uncharacterized. NCBI's taxonomy places the organism in Eukaryota, Metazoa, Chordata, Aves, Passeriformes, Paridae. The record is from RefSeq and is a predicted model, not a curated record.